GAUUAAGAACGCAGCGAAAUGCGAUAAGUAAUGUGAAUUGCAGAAUUCAGUGAAUCAUCGAAUCUUUGAACGCACAUUGCGCCCGCCAGUAUUCUGGCGGGCAUGCCUGUUCGAGCGUCAUUUCAACCAUCAAGCCCCAGGCUUGUGUUGGGGACCUGCGGCUGCCGCAGGCCCUGAAAACCAGUGGCGGGCUCGCUGUCACACCGGGCGUAGUAGAUUUUAUCUCGCUCAGGGCGUGCUGCGGGUUCCGGCCGUUAAAAAGCCUUUUUUACCCAAGGUUGACCUCGGAUCAGGUAGGAAGACCCGCUGAACUUAAGCAUAUCAAUAAGCGGAGGA
This 336-nucleotide unclassified non-coding RNA is filed under the name soil metagenome. RNAcentral describes it as "partial contains 5.8S ribosomal RNA, internal transcribed spacer 2, and large subunit ribosomal RNA". The stretch from base 1 to 120 matches the Rfam family "5.8S ribosomal RNA", at positions 35 to 154 of the family's 154-position model. The record is from RNAcentral.